GCUUUCCUGUGGCUCAGUGGUUAGAGCAUGGCGCUAGCAACACCAAGGUCAUGGGUUCGAUCCUCAGUCAGAAACA
Non-coding RNA from Triplophysa rosa, 76 nucleotides. Lineage: Eukaryota; Metazoa; Chordata; Actinopteri; Cypriniformes; Nemacheilidae. The record is from the annotation of a RefSeq genome assembly.